CUCAGCAAUUCCUGGAUUCUACAGCAAAGGCCCAGGCUAAAUCGGAGGAUGACUAUUUGGUCAUGAUCAUUGUUCGUGGUGCAUCUUAAAGUCCUAAUGCUUUCUGUGCUUAUCCUGCUGCUUCAUACAACUCCCCCCUCCUCCAGUGUCUGCCAGGUGCUAAGCCUUAGCCAACACCCUAAGUAUAAUUUUUGAUCUGUAGUUACUCUUAUUUUCCCUUUAUUUUCUAUAAAUUCUAGAGAGCAGAUAUAUUAACUGUUCGCUAGGCUACCCUCAACUGUCUUGCUAGUGACAGUAUAGCAAGAAGGGAUGGCCUGCUUUCACUAAAAUAUGAAACAUUGAACAAGCUUGCCUCCCUCUUUUUUUUUUUUACUUUUUAACUUGUCCUUGUUCAUUUCACAACUUUAAAGUAGCUAUAAAAUCUUUUCCUAUACUUACAUUCUAAAUUGCCAUACUUAAAACAUUCAUGAUUCAUGCCCAUUCUGAGCCCCACAGCUUCCAUAAAACUAUAGUUAUGAUUUCAGAUUAAUUCCUAGUUUACAAAAUGUAAAAUUGAAUUGAAUUAACUCACGGUUGAGUCCCUGAUACUGCUGAUAUUAAGCCUUCAUGGUGCAUUGCAGUUUUCUUUCAGCUGGGUUUUCAGUUUUUGUUCCCAAAUUCAGAGAAAUGCAUACCCUUGAAAAAUGUCCCUAAAUGGUAUUUGCUUUUUUGAUUUUUUUAAAACUUGUGUGCAUUUAAGGGUUGUGGUUGUAAUGAGAGCUUUACUAUAACCCAUGAACAUCAUGAACUUCUGUAUUAAAGAAGCAGGUGGUUAAUGGUAUCAUUGUUUUUGCCCAUUACUAAUUGUAAUAGGCACAAUGAAUUCUAAAGUAUAACGGGAACGCAACUUUCAAAGAUGGCACUUAACUUUUGUGAAAAGUUCUGCCACAUAACCAUUUCAAUUAUCAUUCUAUCCCUGUGGAAAUAGAAAGGAAACUUACCUGCUCAAUAUUUUUCAGGUAAAAUAUAGGCAUUAUGCGAGGUUUUAUAGUCUGGUUUGCACUGUUUUAAUCUUUACACUUGCAUUCACCUUAUAUUUCUAAAUGUUGGGGAAGCAAUUCAGUUUACUAAAAGAACACAAUUUGAUUGAAAGUAAGCCUAUAAAAGCAGUCAUUUUUUAAAAUAUGUGCUAAGACUUAGGAGGAAAGAAUCAACAGUUUAAAUGUGUCACUUUUUGCUUGGUCUCUUCUCUAGUCCAAUGUUUUUGUUCCUUUGUAAAGCCGCUGUACAGUAACAAUGUUUCUCAUGUGUAAACCAAUUCUCAAGUUUGAAUAAGUACAAUUACGAUAGUUGAAAAAGUGGCCUAAUGAAACACUGCUCAGUGAAAUAUUGGGAAACAUACUAUUCUUAAAGUAUUUUUUUCAAGUAGAGCCUCACUUCUGAAACUAUUACACCCUUUCACUCUUUUAAGAAUGUGGGUACAGUAACCUAAAUCCCACAAUUCUGAAAUAUAAAUUGUUCUGUAAUAAAUGAAACUUGGAACUGUGAACCAAAUUAAAUCUAGCCACUGUUAUAGGCAGAGUCACUAAGACAGAUUUGUGUUGCCUGUACUGCAUAACAUUAUUGGAUUAUCCAUAUUACUGCAUUUGUCAAAUUCAAUAUGCUAGUGGCUACAUAAAGAGUUUUCUUAGUGUAUUUAUUUGGAGAGUGAAUUUGUUCUAUGUUGAACUAAUAUAUUAAUUUAAAAGCCAUCCUUGUAUUUUUGGGAAAAUCUUUAAUAUCAGAUUCGAAAGUCAAACUUGUUGGCACUAGUAUGCAUACUGAUGUGCUCUCCUUGUUAAAAAAAUCCUUUGGAACUUGAAUUUGAGGUAAAGUGAACAUAAUGGCAUUUUAGGCAACUUUUGGGAACCGGUGUUGGAAAACCCUACACCAUGGAUUUCUUUUUCUAUUUUAAUUGAAAAUUAUGUUCAAUGCUGCUUCUUAUGAUUUGAACUGGGUAAAGGAUAUGUGAAAUGGGCAAUUCAGUUUUCCAAACCUUUAUCUAAGAUUAUUUUUUAAGAAAGAAGAUAAUCCAGUAAUAGCUAUAGAAAGAAAAAGAAUGUUAGGAGUCCAAUUUAGACUAAAACGAUAACCAACAUUGGAUAGCUCAGCACUUAGUUAUAGCUGCUAUAGCUUUUUUUUUGUAUUAGGAUAACAGCAGUACAAUUAUUCAUUUGAGCCAACCUCCAAGACUUCAGCAUAGCAAAAGUUAAGUUUUGUGACACAUCUGUAUGCAGAAAAAAAGAAUUGUGAUCUUUUGUAUAUGGUAUUAUGAAGCUUUAGGGCAAUGUAUAUUUGAAUGAUGCACAUGUUCAGAAAUUUGUUUCUAGAGUUAUAACAUUAGGAUGAAGAAUGUUUUUUUUUCCUGAGAGUCACUUAAUACCACUUUUGGGGGAACUGGAAAGGAAAAUCUUAGUUGGCAUGUUGUCUUUAGGAUUUAAAUUCUAUAAUUAGAGACUUAAAAGUUUGCCCUCCCUUUUAAAGUUAACUAGGAGUUUUGCAUUUUGACAGUUCAUCAUACGUGGUUGGCUGUCAGUGGAGUAUCAAUUUAAGGCUACCUCAUUUACCAGGAUCCACUUUUGUGUUUAUACAAUUGCCUCCCAAUUUUAAUUGUCAAAAUUUAUUGGCAUUUUAAAAGCCAAUAUAUUUAGCAUGGAUCCUUUCUUCCCAAGAUAUAUAAGGGGGAAAGGAAGAAGCCUUCCUUAGGAAUUUAAACAAGUAGUAGGAGUUUGACUAUGUUUUAAGAGUAAAAGAAUGUAGGAAUACAUCUGAAUUGGAUAAAAAUGGAAAAGAUAAGGGUAGCCACAUAAGCAUACAAAAUAAUAAUCCAUGUAGGGUGCCUGAUUGAAUGGUUUGCAAAAUUGUAAAGUAAUUUGAUGUAUGUUCAUUUCCUUGCUUUCGGUUUUCCCCCUAUAGAGCAAACAAUAUUAGCUGCUCCAGAUGUGUCACUGAAGAUAAACAUGUCCCUUUACAUUAUCCAAACUAAAGUAUUUUGGAACAACUAGAAAAAUGCACACAGAUGUGGGAUGAAGAGAAUCUGAUGCAUAUUUUAGCUAGUUUUCUCCAGUAAGUAAAGAAUCUGUAGUUGGAGAUAACAUAGCAAUGUGAAAAAAUACACUUACAAACAGAACACUAAAUUUCUUGUUCUUGUUUGACUUUUUGAAAGUGAGAGAAAUUGUGUGAAUUGUGAAAAUUCAGUUGAUUUUUCUCCUGUAUGUUUUUUUAAACUAGUACAGCUUUUUUUCCCCAAUCUCUACCCUAUAUUUUAACUCCCUGAACUACUAUUUGUGCAUUUAUAUACAGAUGUUAAUUCAUUUCAAAAGCUUUGUGCCAGUGAAGGGUGAUUGGUGCUUUCAGACAUUACCUAGAACAUUAAUAGCCUUGUAGUUGGAACAGUUAUCUGUAAAUGCAGGGGGAAAACAGAUCUCUUGUAAACAUUUGUACUGAAUAACCUCUUCUUUCCUCCUGAAAGCAAGGCUAGUGAAGUGCUGAAGACCACAAGGGAUUCCAAACUCUAAUGGACCUUUGCGAAGAAAAGCGUUGGCUUAUGUGGAAUUUACAUGGGCCUCAUGGAAGAAAGCUUAUCUGUUUAGUAUUUGUGCAUUUUACUAAAAUGGCAGCUUAAAAAGUUGUGUAUCUGCUAUUUGUGAUGCCAAUGCCCAUGUUUUAAAGUGGAAAAUUGACCUCUUUGCUAUGUGCUGUGUACACAAGAUUUCUGCAAAAGUAAAGGAAAAAAACCUUUUUAUGGCUCACACAGCUUAAAAUAGCUGUCACUCAAAACAUGCGCUCACAGUCGAGCUGAUUUUGUUUCAUUCUAAAUAAAUUGUUUCUUUUGAGGAAAGUGGUUUUUCUGCCUGGAAAUGAAUUGACGACAAACCUUUGACCCCUUUGUUUGCAGCUGUGGGGGUACUUUACAACUGUUCCUGCUGCUCCUUCUCCUCGAUCUGAUAGUUGUGGGUCUCAGACAAGAAACAGGGAAACCUUCGCUUUGAUAUUGACCAUCUUUUGUAUCAGAUCUGAAGAAAUCUAGUUUGUUGUGUUGCUGUGUCCUCUUGUGUACGGUGAAUGGGGAUCAAUGGCUGCUAUCUCCUCAUCUUUACGAGGAAAUGGUGCUGUUGCUGGCAUGCAAGAAGCAGGGAAAGCAUCUUGAGUCUCAGAACAGUGUGCAGAUCUGGGACUUUGUUGAUUUUGAAGAGCUGGAGUUCCUGAAUUUUAAGUUCUUGAUUUAUUUUGUUCACCUAACUUGUUUGGCCUUAGUUCUGUUUUUAAUUUGAAGAAAGUUUGAAAUUGCUUUGCAUCUUGCUCAUAACCUUUUCACCAAAUUGAAAAGAAAAAGUAACUCAUAAAAAAAAUUAAAUGAUAGCGCGUUUCCAGACACAGUUGAAGAGCUCCUCCCCCACCAGGGGCUUUUCUUCAGAGUUAUGCAGUCCUGGGUGUAGUUCUGAAUGGAAGAAGAGUUCCUGAGAGCUAGAGCGCUGUCAUUUAAAACCUGUACGAUUGUUAUUGGUGCUCUUACUUGACCCGUUUUGAAGCAAAUGGUCUACACACCUUGGAUGUGCAUGCAACUUGAUCGUUUCAUAGGUACCGCUGCAAACUUUUUAGUUUGUAGUACAGAUGAUAUCAGGAGGAAAAAAAAAGUGGUGAAACUUUGAAAACAAAUGUGCUAUAUUUCCUGCAUUUGGGGAUCUUGAGCUUUGGAAAGCUGUUCCCACUGUGCAGGAGUACAACUCUUUGCUGCAGGAGACUUCGGGGCACAGUUGACUACACAUCACCAGAGGUCAAGAGGAAGCGAACAGUGCUGCACCUGCAUCGUGGCUGCAGAAACUGCAUUUGUUUCCCGAGUCUCUUAGAAUUAACUAGUUGCCAUUUGACAUGCAGAUGGAAGACACCUUGAAAUGCAAGCUUGCUUUGGUUGCCUUGAAAUGCUUAACCUAUUGUGGAUAAAGAACACUAGCGCGGUCCUAUAUCCAUGCAGGAUGAUUGCUAGGCAGCAGGUGCUUAUCAACCAAGGAUGCUACGAUUGUGUUCCACAAAAUAUGGGUUCCCAUGGCAAACUGCUGUAUAAAACUCUUAAACAGGAUUGGUCAGCCCCUCUGGACUGAUAAGAGGGACAUCUUUAUCUGAAAGGAUGAACAUUUCAGGCAAAUCCCUGGUGUUUUCCAAGUGCAUUAUUUACUAAGUUACUGUCCCCAGGAGCCUGCAUGAUAAUCUUGGUGUUAAGUCUUCAACAAGGCAAAUGGAAAUGCCCGCUGCUGGUACACUAAAAACCUCAACGUGCAGGAACUCCAGGCAACUUACAUGAAGAUAGCUCUUCAUUCUAUCCCACCAUGUUCCUAUGAGGUUCCAAGAAUAAUGAAAUGGAUGAAACAAGGAAACAUAUACCAGUCAAAAUGAAGGACCAUGCAUAUGUCUGGGUGUAAUCAUACAGCCAACCUGUAAGUAAGGAAUAACAGGGUUUGGUUAUUACAUCAUUCUCAUUUAGUGUAGCUGUCUUUUCAUAUCAUUACUAAUGCAACUCUUAAAAACCAUGUAGGUACCUCAACAAUACUGGCUUUGCAUCAUUUAAUCCAAGUGACAAUAAAGAUUGUGUUUUAUAUAUUAAUCCACCUUAAUUGGUUUAAAUUGCAGGAGCUGAUUUUGUAUUCCAAGGUAAAUAUAUUUCAUCCCUUUAAUAUUUCUUCAUGGCAUGUUUAUUAAAUAAUAAUCUGUUUCAGUUUUUCUUUAACCAGUCUGUUAAUUUUUCUGCUUGCUCAAUCUGUAUUUUAGGAUCUACUGAAUCCCACAUUUGAGUACAUUGUUCGACAGCAAAGAAGAGAUGGAGGCUUUUUACAGUAGUAUUGAGCUACGGAGUACUUGAAUGGUGCAGAAGAUACAGUCUUGUGUUCAGACUAAACAUUCUUAUACACCCACAUAUAAGGACAUUUUAGUUUUGGUGAAUUUUAUGUAAUGUAUAUAGAAUGAAUCUUGGUAAUACUCUUUAAUAUGAUGACUCACAGACUUUUAAGUAAUAACAAUUUUGAAAAUGGGUAAAACACAUCUUUUGAAAAAGUAUUUACAUUCAUAGAAGCAAUGUAUUCUUAUCCUAUCCCUAACAUUUAUAGAAUGAACUGAUCUCUUAUUUGGUGAGAUCUCACUGGUGUACACAUGGUUACUUGGGAAUAAAUCCCCAGGAUCCCAUAGCAAUUAUGUUGCGGAGGAUUUUCUUGCUCUGGCAAACUAUUAAAAUUUACCACCAGAGGGCUUGUUCCCACAUUAGAACAGUAUGGCUCAUAUUUAAAGGACUCUGGAGUAGAUCGUGUCUGAAAAUCUGCUUCUAUUGAUUCACACUUAGAUGGUACUUCUGUGUAUUACAUGUAUGAAUUGAAUUACUAGGGGAUCAUAAGAUCCUUGCCAGUCUAGUUCUCUUCAUUAAAAUAACAGCCAUAUAUGGCCAGUUUGAUGGUACUCAUGUUGGGGGCGCCUGUGGCAGCCUGAGUGCUCUACCAGUGAAAACGGACUCCUGAUUCUCCAUUUUCAGCUGUAAUGCCCUCCUGCAACACUGCCAGUGAAAACGGAGCUUGGGAGGGCCACAGAUACAUUUCUGGUGGUAGAGGCCCUACAGGUCGGUCCUUUGCUGUUUCCAGGGUGGCCCCGUAGGCCAGAUCCUGUGGGCCUUGAGUUUGACACCCCUGCCUUAAACUAUAUAUUUUUUUCUAAUUUAAAUCUGCAGCAGAUAACUUGCACUGAAUGAACUCAAAUGUUAGAAAUAUGAUAGAAUAUGCACAUUUACCAUUUACAUAUGAAAUUCUGACCCUAUUCUUUUUUUGAAGUCUCAAGUGCCUUAACAUGGUGUAUAUGGACAUGAUCAUAUUUCUGAUUAUUUUACUUACUCUUUUCUGUUUGUUUCAGGGCUAUGAAAUAGGUUUUGAAACAUAUCCUGAUUAUACCAAAUGAUGUUACCUACACAAUUAUUUAAAAACAGUACUUGCCAUUUUGUUUUUAGUUAUUUUCCUAAUAAAUCCAGUGUUCAUGUUUUACUUCCAGUGCGUAUUAUAAGGAAAUGUUUACCUCAGGUGAAAAUUUUUGCAGUUAAGCCUCUACUGUUUUAAGAAUAUAGGUUUUAUUGGGCUCAAAGUAUAUAACCAUGUAGUUUAAUUGUUUAUUCAUUGUUUAAAAGUUCUGCUUUAGGUUUCAUAUCUUGAAUCACUGAAUCCACAUCCAAUGGAUACUAUUAAUCUCAGUUAUGUAAAUAGGUUGCAUGGAUACAAUUGCAAUUUAAAACACAUAGAAACUUUACAAUGAUUGUCUUCUGGAAAUGAAUCCUGUCUCACCAGUACUUCUCAAAAUCCACUUUGACAACUGCACCAUACCCAAAGAAAGCAAGACGGGUGUGGUUUUACCAUUUUUGUUGCUAGUUGCUAAGGGAAGAUUAAUAAACAGCUAGAUUUAAAAGUUAACACUUCUAAAUAUUUACUAGACAUUCUUCAAGAAGUCUAAAUCAUGUUGUAGUUAUUAAUGUGUUAAUUUUAAAACCUUACAUUUUUUCUAUUUGGCACAGCUCUUCAGAGGCAGUCCCUCCCCAUUCCCUAGAAUAUGCUUUAGGUGUGGGUCCUGUAUUAACAUCUUUCACAGUGAAGACCGAUGCAAAGAUUCCAGGAGGUCCAACAAUAACUCCAAACCCAGCAAUGAAUGAGGCAACUCCCAAGGCACUGUGAAAUCUGGCUGCGCCUACAAGAUCUACCUAUUAAAGGAAGCAGUAUUUAUUAUUCAAUAGACAGCACAGGAAACAGCAGUGCAAGAUAUCCACCACUGAAAAUGGCAAAAGUUACAGAGUAACUCAUAAGUAAUGGGAAGGUGGUAGCCAGAGGACACAGCAAAUUAGUGAGCCCACAAAGAAUGAGACUUGCUGGUAGAUGCUCACACUGGAUGGCUGUGGCCUCGUUUGUCAUGUUUCUUAUUUGAGUGGUAAGUCUUCGAUGCAUUUAUAUUUUCAGUUCUAUCGUUAUCAAGAUUCAACACCAAAUUCCUGGUGACCCUAAUUCCCCCAUGUCUCAAAAAUUGUCCAGUAUGUUGUAUGGAAAAUUCCUGGAUGCUAUAGUAAAGCAUCUUUUCACCAUUGGAAGACUCUUUUUCCCUCACUUUCUUUUUUUUCUUCAGCUCCACCUUCAAUUGACUGAUGCCCAGUAUAUUUAAUUAUAUGACUGUUGAAUACUACAUUUUUUGCUUUAUUUUUGUUAGGCAUAUGGAGCUGAAGUUUUGUUUCUAUCUGAUACAUUCAUAUCUGAGAAUUCUAAACAUUUCUUCUAUGAUUAAACUCUACACUUAUUCACAAGCUCUGGUCAGUAAUUUUAUGGCAAAAUGCUUUGUUAAAUGAAAUUGGAGUUUAUAAUCUGGAGUAAUUUACCCUUAACUUUCUCCAUCCCCCAAAUUGCCCAUUGGUAAGCUCUCUUGCUACAUAAGGAGCUUGAUUUUGCCUCAAGAGAAUCCAUUAUCCAGUUUAAGGUGGAUUUCCCUCUGAUACCUCAGUUUCUUAACCCCUAUUCUGCAUCAGUGUUUUCAAGCAAAAUUUAAAGGGUUGGUUUAAAUUGAAAAUAAAUAACAAAAUCAUUUUAACUAUUGGUUUAUCUCUUAAGAAAAAUAUGUAAUAAAGAUGGAAGCAGUUUUGUACUGAGAUGAUUUUUUUAAUGCUAAUAAAAUUUAAGAACAUAUUUUGUUGUUAUUAAGAUGGCUUUCCAAAACUACAUAAUUAUAGAAGCAUGCCUUUGAAUAAAACGUCUUAAUAGUUACAGCAUAACCACAUUUCAUAAAGCUAUAUAUUAAAUAUUUUUUUCCCAGUG
Thamnophis sirtalis is the source of this 8834-nucleotide non-coding RNA. Lineage: Eukaryota; Metazoa; Chordata; Lepidosauria; Squamata; Natricidae. The record is from RefSeq and is a predicted model, not a curated record.